RNAcentral lists this non-coding RNA (28 nucleotides) under Homo sapiens (human). Lineage: Eukaryota; Metazoa; Chordata; Mammalia; Primates; Hominidae. The record is from RNAcentral.
UGCCUUGAAGUUCAGGGCUGCUGUGCAA